This 524-nucleotide ribosomal RNA is filed under the name uncultured bacterium. RNAcentral describes it as "partial 16S ribosomal RNA". It matches the Rfam family "Bacterial small subunit ribosomal RNA", at positions 355 to 893 of the family's 1533-position model. The record is from RNAcentral.
UGGGGAAUAUUGCACAAUGGGCGAAAGCCUGAUGCAGCAACGCCGCGUGAGUGAUGAAGGCCUUCGGGUUGUAAAGCUCUGUCUUUUGGGACGAUAAUGACGGUACCAAAGGAGGAAGCCACGGCUAACUACGUGCCAGCAGCCGCGGUAAUACGUAGGUGGCAAGCGUUGUCCGGAUUUACUGGGCGUAAAGGAUGCGUAGGCGGAUUUUUCAAGUGAGAUGUGAAAUACCCGGGCUUAACUUGGGUGCUGCAUUUCAAACUGGGAAUCUAGAGUGCGGGAGAGGAGAAUGGAAUUCCUAGUGUAGCGGUGAAAUGCGUAGAGAUUAGGAAGAACACCAGUGGCGAAGGCGAUUCUCUGGACCGUAACUGACGCUGAGGCAUGAAAGCGUGGGUAGCAAACAGGAUUAGAUACCCUGGUAGUCCACGCCGUAAACGAUGAGUACUAGGUGUAGGAGGUAUCGACCCCGUUCUGUGCCGCAGUUAACACAAUAAGUACUCCGCCUGGGAAGUACGAUCGCAAGA